This 641-nucleotide ribosomal RNA is filed under the name uncultured marine bacterium. RNAcentral describes it as "bacterial SSU rRNA". It matches the Rfam family "Archaeal small subunit ribosomal RNA", at positions 12 to 658 of the family's 1478-position model. The record is from RNAcentral.
UCCUGCCGAAGGCUACUGCUAUUGGAGUUCGAUUAAGCCAUGCGAGUCUAAGGGGUACUUGUACCCCUGGCAUAAUGCUCAGUAACACGUGGAUAAUCUACCCUUAGGUGGGGCAUAAACCCGGGAAACUGGGGCUAAUUCCCCAUAGAUACAGAACGCUGGAAUGCCUCUGUAUUCAAAGCUCCGGCGCCUAAGGAUGAGUCUGCGACCUAUCAGGUAGUAGUCAGGGUCACGACCUGACUAGCCAACGACGGGUACGGGGUGUGAGAGCACUUGCCCGGAGAUGGUUUCUGAGACACGAAACCAGGCCCUACGGGGCGCAGCAGGCGCGAAAACUUCGCAAUGCGGGAAACCGUGACGAGGGAACUCCAAGUGUCUAUGCAAUGCAUAGACUGUUUUUCAGCCUAAAUAGCUGUUAGAGUAAGGGGUGGGUAAGACCGGUGCCAGCCGCCGCGGUAACACCGGCACCCCGAGUGGUAGCCACUAUUAUUGGGCCUAAAGCGUUCGUAGCCGGUUUAGUAAAUUCUUGGGUAAAUCGUACAGCUUAACUGUGCGGAUUCCGGGGACACUACUAGACUUGAGACCGGGAGAGAUUAGAGGUACUUGCAGGGGAGCGGUGAAAUGUUGUAUCCUGCAGGACC